RNAcentral lists this ribosomal RNA (273 nucleotides) under uncultured bacterium. Its description in RNAcentral is "partial 16S ribosomal RNA". It matches the Rfam family "Bacterial small subunit ribosomal RNA", at positions 524 to 796 of the family's 1533-position model. The record is from RNAcentral.
UACGAAGGGUGCAAACGUUGCUCGGAAUCAUUGGGCGUAAAGCGCACGUAGGCGGCUUCGCAAGUCGGAUGUGAAAUCCCACGGCUCAACCAUGGACGUGCAUUCGAAACUGCGGAGCUUGAGUAUGGAAGAGGGUCGCGGAAUUCCCGGUGUAGAGGUGAAAUUCGUAGAUAUCGGGAGGAACACCAGUGGCGAAGGCGGCGACCUGGGCCAAUACUGACGCUGAGGUGCGAAAGCGUGGGGAGCAAACAGGAUUAGAAACCCCCGUAGUCC